AAACAACUCUCAGCAACGGAUAUCUUGGYUCUUGCAACGAUGAAGAACGCAGCGAAAUGGAAAUUUAAUGUGAAUUGCAGAAUUCCGUGAAUCAUCGAGUCUUUGAACGCAAGUUGCGCCCGAGGCUUGUCCGAGGGCAUUUCCGCUAGAGCGUCACC
RNAcentral lists this ribosomal RNA (158 nucleotides) under Brachelyma subulatum. RNAcentral's name for it is "5.8S ribosomal RNA". It matches the Rfam family "5.8S ribosomal RNA". Rfam says of the family: 5.8S ribosomal RNA (5.8S rRNA) is a component of the large subunit of the eukaryotic ribosome. The record is from RNAcentral. Lineage: Eukaryota; Viridiplantae; Streptophyta; Bryopsida; Hypnales; Fontinalaceae.